GACGACUAAUUGCCGACGCAUCAAAAUGUACUUAGUCCGUUCGCGGGUCGUUCGUUCAGUUCGUUCGCGGGUCGUAUUGAAAAAAGUGCCGAGAGAGUUACCGAAAAAAGUGUGUCAUCCAGUGUCCAGUGUAGAACAUCGUCGUGGAAGUUUUCACCGGAAAAUCCAUCAAGACGUCUUCGAGUUAUGCGAAAACGAACAGAGACCGUUUAAUCGUGGACAAAUUCUAGUGCUUUACCGCAGUGUUUCCUGUUGUGCGGUAACCAAGUAUCGGUGAUAGGUGAGUAUAACACCUCUGUAUCGUGUAAAUAAUUUCACCUUUCAAUUUUAGUCCUGGACUUAAUACCAACUUUUAAUCGGAUACUCUGGGCUUGGCAUAUAUUGAGUGUGAGUAUUUAGUAGUAAAUAAUUUGUUGAGGAUACUUGUAUUAUGGUAUUUAUAAAUAAAAAUGUUUUAUUAUUACAUGUAAA
This is a long non-coding RNA of Armigeres subalbatus, 471 nucleotides long. RefSeq lists it as uncharacterized. Lineage: Eukaryota; Metazoa; Arthropoda; Insecta; Diptera; Culicidae. The record is from RefSeq and is a predicted model, not a curated record. The transcript is spliced from 2 exons.